GACGGAGGGUGCUAGCGUUGUUCGGAAUGACUGGGCGUAAAGGGCGCGUAGGCGGCUUGGUUAGUCGGGUGUGAAAGCCCGGGGCUCAACCCCGGAACGGCAUCCGAUACUGCCUGGCUUGAGGCCGGGAGAGGAGGGUGGAAUAUCCAGUGUAGAGGUGAAAUUCGUAGAUAUUGGAUGGAACACCAGUGGCGAAAGCGGCUCUCUGGCCCGGUUCUGACGCUGAGGCGCGAAAGCGUGGGGAGCAAACGGG
RNAcentral lists this ribosomal RNA (253 nucleotides) under uncultured bacterium. RNAcentral describes it as "partial 16S ribosomal RNA". It matches the Rfam family "Bacterial small subunit ribosomal RNA", at positions 524 to 776 of the family's 1533-position model. The record is from RNAcentral.